GCCGGGCCGGGGCUCCGGAGCCCGGCGAGCCCUCCCCCGGCCCGCCCCGCCGCCAGCCCCGGCCCCCGGGCGGGCACGGGCCGCCAACCCCGGGGCGGAGCGCCCGCCCCUGAGGGCAGGGCGGAGGCGGGCCCGGCCCGGAGCGGGGUUUGACGGGCCAUGGCGAGAGAAGGAGUGGAUGGAUAUGGUGAGCCUGGAGAUCCCUGGCUCUGCUGGACCUGCCCUGGACUCGGAAUUGCCCGUGUUUUAAGCGGAGCCGCGGGAGUGACCUGGCAGCUCCAUCCGACAUCUGUAUGAAAUCUCUGCUCAGGUUCCGCUGAGGUCCCUGCUUGAGUGAAUGACAGCUGGUUGCUUUAGUUAUAGUAGUGUCUGUCUCUUACGCCGGCCUGUGCCUCGUGUUAAUGUGACCUUUGUGUCGGGGUAUUUUCCGAGUGGGACAGCAAGAGGCAAAAUUUGCCAGAGGAGGUGCAGUAACAAGAGAACAGUGUCAGGGACUAAACUCAUCCCUAACCGUUCAAAACCCUCCUGCCUUUCCUAUCUCAAUUCCCCCUCUCAGUAAGGAGAAAUCUGUUUCUUUGCCAUUUCAGAUUGCAGAUCCUGAUCCUCACACACAAGGCUACCCAUACCCAUCAUUUUCCUAACCCCCUGCUUUCAGGGCACCUUCCUGUUCCAUCAGUCCUUUUCUGGUCUGACAGUUUGUGGAGGGGAAACAAAAGGGUAGAAGGGUUCCCUGUUUGGUCAUUUUCUAUUGUGUAUCCACCAGCAGAAAUGGAAACAGACCCUUAAUUACUCUGAGUCAUUAAACAUAUUUCAAUCAGUUUUCAGGAGAAGACAUCUGUGAGGUUUCUGGUCAACUUUCAACUGAGAAAAAGGCAGUUUACUCAACUACUCAAAGGUAGUUGUUGGCAUUUGCUGUCAGAUUUCACUGUCAGAUAGUCUGGCAACAGCUUUGUCAUCCAGAUGUUUCUGUCCCUGCCAUUCCUUGCUCAGCCAAAUCUGAGGAAGAAAAAGACGUCUUUGUUCCUCGUCUACCUCUCAUGAAAGAAAUUUCAGCCAUCUUCUGGUCUAAUGCCUGCUCUUCCCCCAGCAUGGAAACAUGUACCACAGCAUCAGAUACCCUCUCCUGAUCUUCCAAAUCCACGACAUCAUACAGACCAAGUCCUCCUCUGCUCCCCUCUGGGGCUCCCUUGAUCAUCCAGCAUCUGCUCUUCCUGUUACCCUAACACAGUCCCUCAGUGAAGAAUUCUUCUCCUCUACAGCUUUCUCACCCAAACCUCUCUUUGCUCUCCUACUCCCUUCCAGAUCAAAGUAAUUUCUUUCCCUCUGCUUUGCUCAUUGCUCUUCAUCUCUCUUUUUAGAUGCUUGUUCAAUUUGCCAUGGUAAAAUACUUUGAUCAUAUGAUUAAAAGGGAUUGAGCGAA
Long non-coding RNA from Pseudopipra pipra, 1420 nucleotides. RefSeq lists it as uncharacterized. The transcript is spliced from 2 exons. The record is from RefSeq and is a predicted model, not a curated record. Lineage: Eukaryota; Metazoa; Chordata; Aves; Passeriformes; Pipridae.